Molecule: ribosomal RNA, 490 nt
Filed under: uncultured bacterium
Lineage: Bacteria
Description: partial 16S ribosomal RNA
Rfam family: Bacterial small subunit ribosomal RNA
Source: RNAcentral
AUUGAACGCUGGCGGCAGGCCUAACACAUGCAAGUCGAACGGUAACAGGAAACUUCUUGCUGUUUCGCUGACGAGUGGCGGACGUGUGAGUAAUGUCUCGGAAACUUCCUGAUGGAGGGGGUUCACUACUGGAAACGGUAGCUACUACCGCCUAACGUCGCAAAGCCAAAGAGCUGGACCUUCCGGCCUCUUGCCUUCGGCUGUGCCCAGUUGGGAUUAGCUAGUAGGUGGGGUAACGGCUCACCUAGGCGACGAUCCCUAGCUGGUCUGAGAGGAUGACCAGACACACUGGAACUGAGACACGGUCCAGACUCCUACGGGAGGCAGCAGUGGGGAAUAUUGCACAAUGGGCGCAAGCCUGAUGCAGCCAUGCCGCGUGUAUGAAGAAGGCCUUCGGGUUGUAAAGUACUUUCAGCGGGGAGGAAGGGAGUAAAGUUAAUACCUUGACGUAUUGACGUUACCAGCAGAAGAAGCACCGGCUAACUCCGUG